GACGAACGCUGGCGGCGUGCCUAACACAUGCAAGUCGAGCGGGGUUGAAGCGAGAGGUAACUCGAACUUCUACCUAGCGGCGGACGGGUGAGUAACGCGUGGGCAACCUGCCUCAAGGUCUGGGAUAACAGCCCGAAAGGGCUGCUAAUACUGGGUAUGCUUGUGGCCUCGCAUGGGGCUAUGAGCAAAGGGGAAACCCGCCUUGAGAUGGGCCCGCGUCCCAUCAGCUAGUUGGUGAGGUAACAGCUCACCAAGGCGACGACGGGUAGCCGGCCUGAGAGGGUGACCGGCCACACUGGGACUGAGACACGGCCCAGACUCCUACGGGGGGCAGCAGUGGGGGAUCUUGCACAAUGGGCGAAAGCCUGAUGCAGCGACGCCGCGUGAGCGAAGAAGGCCUUCGGUGUAAAGCUCUGUCUGGAGGGACGGAAGGAAGUAGACGGUACCUCCGGAGGAAGCCACGGCUAACUACGUGCCAGGCAGCCGCGGUAAACUCGUCU
Molecule: ribosomal RNA, 500 nt
Filed under: uncultured bacterium
Lineage: Bacteria
Description: bacterial SSU rRNA
Rfam family: Bacterial small subunit ribosomal RNA
Source: RNAcentral